Bicyclus anynana (squinting bush brown) is the source of this 3122-nucleotide RNA transcript. It is a transcript of the gene named 26S proteasome non-ATPase regulatory subunit 12, with no coding region annotated. Lineage: Eukaryota; Metazoa; Arthropoda; Insecta; Lepidoptera; Nymphalidae. The record is from RefSeq and is a predicted model, not a curated record. The transcript has 10 exons.
UAGCUGUGCUGUCACUGUCACUUUGCUGUCACUCGAAGUGAGUUAGCAUUUGAUGAAUUCGCAGUUUUAAUUUAAAGAAAUUUUACAUUUCUUGUAUUUCCUAAAGCUUGAUUCGAAUCAAAUUACUAAUUUUAGAUACUUUGGAGACAGAUUAACAGAUCCAACAUACAAAAUGAGUACAAACGGUGAUGUUGGGUCCUUAGAUGCCAGUGGCAAAAUUAUAAAAAUGGAAGUGGAUUACAGUGUCACUUGUGAUGAGAAAAUUCCGCUUUGGAAGUCAUGGGCUGCUAGUGGUAAGGUUCAAGAAGCUAUUGACCAAUUACUGGCACUAGAGAAGCAAACCAGAACAGGUGCAGAUAUGGCAUCUACUGCAAGGAUUUUGGUGACCAUAGUGCAGAUUUGUUACGAAGCCAAGAACUGGAGUUCCCUCAAUGAUCAUAUUGUGCUUCUGUCUAAGAGACGAUCGCAGCUAAAACAGGCUGUUGUAAAAAUGGUCCAGGAAUGCUACACCUAUGUCAACAAGACACCAGACAAGGAGACUAAAAUUAAACUAAUUGAAACCCUGAGAACAAUCACAGAGGGGAAAAUCUAUGUUGAAGUAGAAAGAGCAAGACUUACACAUAUCCUGGCUAAAAUAAGGGAAGAAGAAGGCAAUGUGACCGAAGCAGCAAAGAUUAUCCAAGAGUUACAAGUGGAGACCUAUGGUUCAAUGGAUAAAAGGGAGAAAGUAGAACUUAUAUUGGAACAAAUGAGACUUUGUCUGGCAAUCAAAGACUAUAUUCGUACUCAGAUUAUAUCAAAGAAGAUCAGCACUAAAUUCUUUGAAGAAGAUGAUACCCAAGAACUGAAAGAAAAAUUCUACAGACUGAUGAUAUCAGUAGACCAACACAACGGCCAGUACUUGUCUGUAUGCCGUCACUUCAGAGCCCUAGGCGCGUUGGGUGGCUCCGAUGCUCUCAUUGGAAGUGUGGUCUUCCUUAUCCUGGCCCCGUACGACAACGAGCAGGCCGACAUGACGCAUAGAGUGAACGAGGAUAAGGAUUUGGAUAAAUUGCCGGAAUACAAGCAACUAUUAGGUCUCUUCAUCAACCCUGAAAUCAUUAGAUGGAGUACUCUUUGUGCAACAUAUGAGAAGAUGUUGAGACAGACGCCGUUCUUUAGCCCCACCGAUGAGAAGGGGCAGGAGCGCUGGAACGAUCUCAAGAACAGAGUGGUUGAACAUAAUAUCCGCAUAAUGUCGAUGUACUACACGCGCAUCACGCUGCAGCGCAUGAGCGAGCUGCUGGGGCUCAGCGUGACGGAGACGGAGGAGGCGCUGAGCCAGCUCGUCGUCAGCGCGGUGGUGCGCGCCAAGAUCGACCGUCCCGCCGGCGUCGUGCACUUCAGGUACACAGUGUGUUUGUUGCAACAACAACAACAUCCGCACAAUGUCGAUGUACUACACGCGCAUCACGCUGCAGCGCAUGAGCGAGCUGCUGGGGCUCAGCGUGACGGAGACGGAGGAGGCGCUGAGCCAGCUCGUCGUCAGCGCGGUGGUGCGCGCCAAGAUCGACCGUCCCGCCGGCGUCGUGCACUUCAGGUACACAGUGUGUUUGUUGCAACAACAACAACAUCCGCACAAUGUCGAUGUACUACACGCGCAUCACGCUGCAGCGCAUGAGCGAGCUGCUGGGGCUCAGCGUGACGGAGACGGAGGAGGCGCUGAGCCAGCUCGUCGUCAGCGCGGUGGUGCGCGCCAAGAUCGACCGUCCCGCCGGCGUCGUGCACUUCAGGUACACAGUGUGUUUGUUGCAACAACAACAACAUCCGCACAAUGUCGAUGUACUACACGCGCAUCACGCUGCAGCGCAUGAGCGAGCUGCUGGGGCUCAGCGUGACGGAGACGGAGGAGGCGCUGAGCCAGCUCGUCGUCAGCGCGGUGGUGCGCGCCAAGAUCGACCGUCCCGCCGGCGUCGUGCACUUCAGGUACACAGUGUGUUUGUUGCAACAACAACAACAUCCGCACAAUGUCGAUGUACUACACGCGCAUCACGCUGCAGCGCAUGAGCGAGCUGCUGGGGCUCAGCGUGACGGAGACGGAGGAGGCGCUGAGCCAGCUCGUCGUCAGCGCGUUGGUGCGCGCCAAGAUCGACCGUCCCGCCGGCGUCGUGCACUUCAGGUACACAGUGUGUUUGUUGCAACAACAACAACAUCCGCACAAUGUCGAUGUACUACACGCGCAUCACGCUGCAGCGCAUGAGCGAGCUGCUGGGGCUCAGCGUGACGGAGACGGAGGAGGCGCUGAGCCAGCUCGUCGUCAGCGCGGUGGUGCGCGCCAAGAUCGACCGUCCCGCCGGCGUCGUGCACUUCAGGUACACAGUGUGUUUGUUGCAACAACAACAACAUCCGCACAAUGUCGAUGUACUACACGCGCAUCACGCUGCAGCGCAUGAGCGAGCUGCUGGGGCUCAGCGUGACGGAGACGGAGGAGGCGCUGAGCCAGCUCGUCGUCAGCGCGGUGGUGCGCGCCAAGAUCGACCGUCCCGCCGGCGUCGUGCACUUCAGGUACACAGUGUGUUUGUUGCAACAACAACAACAUCCGCACAAUGUCGAUGUACUACACGCGCAUCACGCUGCAGCGCAUGAGCGAGCUGCUGGGGCUCAGCGUGACGGAGACGGAGGAGGCGCUGAGCCAGCUCGUCGUCAGCGCGGUGGUGCGCGCCAAGAUCGACCGUCCCGCCGGCGUCGUGCACUUCAGGUACACAGUGUGUUUGUUGCAACAACAACAACAUCCGCACAAUGUCGAUGUACUACACGCGCAUCACGCUGCAGCGCAUGAGCGAGCUGCUGGGGCUCAGCGUGACGGAGACGGAGGAGGCGCUGAGCCAGCUCGUCGUCAGCGCGGUGGUGCGCGCCAAGAUCGACCGUCCCGCCGGCGUCGUGCACUUCAGAUUAAACAUGGACUCGUCCGAUCGUCUGAACGAGUGGUCCCGUAACCUCAACACCCUGAUGCAGUUGGUCAACAAAACGACACAUCUCAUCAACAAAGAGGAAUGUGUGCACAAACAUUUGUUAGCUACCGCUGAAUAAAUAUACUUACUUAAUAAAUAAUUAUACUUACUUGAAUAAAUUAAUACUUUUUA